UACGGAGGGUGCGAGCGUUGUCCGGAUUUAUUGGGUUUAAAGGGUGCGCAGGUGGCCCGGUCAGUCAGUGGUGAAAUGCGGCCGCUCAACGGUCGAACUGCCAUUGAUACUGCCUGGCUUGAGAGGAGUGGAGGCCGCCGGAACGGACGGUGUAGCGGUGAAAUGCAUAGAUAUCGGGAGGAACGCCGAUGGCGAAGGCAGGUGGCUAGGCUUCGUCUGACGCUGAGGUGCGAAAGCGUGGGGAGCGAACAGG
This 253-nucleotide ribosomal RNA is filed under the name uncultured bacterium. RNAcentral's name for it is "partial 16S ribosomal RNA". It matches the Rfam family "Bacterial small subunit ribosomal RNA", at positions 524 to 776 of the family's 1533-position model. The record is from RNAcentral.